UACCACGAGGAGUGGGUAAGAAACAAUGCCCGAGCUAAUGAGAGAAAUAGGCGCAAUGAUAGACCUCGCAACAAUGAUAGAUCAAGGAACUUUGAAAGAAGAGGUAAUAAUAUGCAGCAGCAGAGAGGCGGCCCCCCUGGCGGCAUGGGAGGCGGCCCCCCUGGCGGCAUGGGAGGCGGCCCCCCUGGGACCAUGGGAGGCGGCCCUCCUGGCAACAUGGGAGGAGGCCCCCCCGGCAACAUGGGAGGAGGCCCCCCCGGCAACAUGGGAGGCGGCCCUCCGGGAAACAUGGGAGGCGGCCCCCCUGGUAACAUGGGAGGCGGCCCUCCUGGCAACGUGAGAGGCGGGCCCCCUGGCGGCAUGGGAGGCGGCCCUUAUGGCAACAUGGGAGGCGGCCCACCUGGCAACUUGGGGCAGAUGCAGAAUAAUAUGGGACAGAUGCAACACGGCAACAUGGGACCAAUGGGAGGUCCAUCACAAAACAUGGGAGGAGCGCAACACAGGC
RNAcentral lists this long non-coding RNA (505 nucleotides) under Daucus carota (carrot). RNAcentral's name for it is "long non-coding RNA (DCAR_LNC000701)". Lineage: Eukaryota; Viridiplantae; Streptophyta; Magnoliopsida; Apiales; Apiaceae. The record is from RNAcentral.